UUUCAUAGUUUUGAUGUCUUCACGAUUAUUCUACAAUUUAGAAAAUAGUAAAAAUAAUGAAAAACCCUUGAAUGGGUAGGUGUGUCCAAACUUUUGACUGGUACUGUAUAUAUAUAAAAUAUGUUUACCCCUGUUGUCAAAGAGGUGGUCAUAAGCUCUAUACAAUCCAUCCAUAUGAACAGUUGUAUACAGUAUGUCAAGUGAAAUGACUUACGUAGCCCAUCGUGUGGCUCAUGUUGAUGUUGUGUAGGCCUUAUGAACUCCCCUUCAUCCCAAAGUAUAGUCAAUGUAAUGUUCAUCCCAAAGCACUACCGAAUUAUAUUUAUACUCGAGCAUUUCUUUUUUUGGUCAUGAAUCCUGACCUGAAAUGGCUAGUCUGAAUGAAUCACUGGCUAAAGGAUCUACUUGAAGGAUUGCAUGUAUGAAAUUGUUAAAAACUAGAUAGUUGCUUGGAAUUGAACUUCUUGAUUGUACAUUUUAUAAUAGACAUGUUUCAAACUCUACAGAUAACUAUUGUAUAAAGUACAAUUGUUUCUUUUUACGAAUGGAAUUUAGAUAUCAUUUUAAAUAAUGUAUUUUUUAUUAUGUCAUAUCCAUACGUUCGUCAGACUAUGAACAUUGUGUUGUGGAUUUUAUAUCAUACAAUUUCAACAUAUAACAUGAAGGCCAAAUCAAGAGGUUAACCCUCUCUGCAGUAUACACUGUAAUAUAUACAAUGCAAGGAAAAGGUGUUCCAUAUAUUUAUUGUAUAAGUUAAUAUAUAUUACAUAUCUAAAAAGUGUGUGUUUGUUGAAAGAAUUUGUGUGUCAAUCAAAUUGCUAAGUUGAGUUGAAAGCGUAUCAACCAUGUAAUGCCUUUGUGUUCUUUAAAAUAAGGUAUAUCCCAAGUUUUAGUAUACUGAGAUAUGAGAAUUACUAUACUGAGAUGUGAGUCUUACUAACUAUACUGAGAUAUGAAUAUUACUAUACUAAGAUACAGUUGAAGUCGGAAGUUUACAUACACCUUAGCCAAAUACAUUUAAACUCAGUUUUUCACAAUUCCUGACAUUUAAUCCUAGUAAAAAUUCCCUGUUUUAGGUCAGUUAGGAUCACAAUUUUAUUUUAAGAAUAUGAAAUGUCAGAAUAAUAGUAGAGAGAAUGAUUUAUUUCAGAUUUUAUUUCUUUCAUCACAUUCCCAGUGGGUCAGAAGUUUCCAUACACUCAAAUAGUAUGGGUCAAACGUUUCGAGGAGCCUUCCACAAGCUUCCCACAAUAAGUUGGGUGAAUUUUGUCCCAUUCCUCCUGACAUAGCUGGUGUAACUGAGUCAGGUUUGUAGGCCUCCUUGCUCGCACAGGCUUUUUCAGUUCUGCCCACAAAUUUUCUAUGGGAUUUAGGCCAGGGCUUUGUGAUGGCCACUCCAAUACCUUGACUUUGUUGUCCUUAAGCCAUUUUGCCACAACUUUGGAAGUAUGCUUGGGGUCAUUGUCCAUUUAGAAGACCCAUUGCGACCAAGAUUUAACUUCCUGUCUGAUGUCUUGAGAUGUUGCUUCAAUAUAUCCCCAUCAUUUUCCUCCCUCAUGAUGCCAUCUAUUUUGUGAAGUGCACCAGUCCCUCCUGCAGCAAAGCACCCUCACAACAUGAUGCUGCCACCCCUGUGCUUCACGGUUGGGAUGGUGUACUUCGGCUUGCAAGCCUCCCCCUUUUUCCUCCAAACAUAACAAUGGUCAUUAUGGCCAAACAAUUCUAUUUUUGUUUCAUCAGACCAGAGGACAUUUCUCCAAAAAGUACAAUCUUUGUCCCCAUGUGCAGUUGCAAACCGUAAUCUGGCUUUAUUUAUGGCGGUUUUGGAGCGGCCUUUCAGGUUAUGUUGAUAUAGGACUCGUUUUACUGUGGAUAUAGAUUAUUUUGUACCUGUUUCCUCAAGCAUCUUCACAAGGUCCUUUGCUGUUGUUCUGGGAUUGAUUUGCACUUUUUGCACCAAAGUACGUUCAUCUCUAAGACACAGAAUGCGUCUCCUUCCUGAGCGGUAUGGUGGCUGUGUGGUCCCAUGCUGUUUAUACUUGCGUACUAUUGUUUGUACAGAUGAACGUGGUACCUUCAGGCGUUUGGAAAUUGCUCCCAAGGAUGAACCAGACUUGUGGGGGUCUACAAUUGUUUUUCUGAGGUCUUGGCUGAUUUCUUUAGAUUUUCCCAUGAUGUCAAGUAAAGAGGCACUGAGUUUGAAGGUAGGCCUUGAAAUACAUCCACAGGUGCACCUCCAAUUGACUCAAAUUGGAGGUGGACAUUAGACUAUCAGAAGCUUCUAAAGCCAUGACAUAAUUUUCUGGAAUUUUCCAAGCUGUUUAAAGGCACAGUCAACUUAGUUUAUGUAAACUUCUGACCCACUGGAAUUGUGAUACAGUGAAUUAUAAGUGCAAUAAUCUGUCUGUAAACAAUUGUUGGAAAAAAUACUUGUGUCAUGCACAAAGUAGAUGUCCUAACCGACUUGCUAAAACUAAAGUUUGUUAACAAGGAAUGUGUGGAGUGGUUGAAAAACGAGUUUUAAUGACUCCAACUUUAGUGUAUGUAUAUGGCCGACUUCAACUGUAUGAGUAUUACUAUACUGAGAUAUGAGUCUUACUAACUACACUGAGAUAUGAGUCUUACUAACUACACUGAUAUAUGUGUGUUACUAUGCUGAAGUGUGAGUCUUACUUUACUGAGUCCAUUGUGUAAUUGUCUGGGUUGAUUAAGAUUUUAGAUGUCAUAGAAUCAUGAAAUAACAAUGGCUUUGCCACAUAUCCCUUGGAAACCACCAUAGAUUGUUUUUCAAAAGAUUUAUCACACUGUUUGUGCGUUGCUUUUAGAGUUAUAUUUUGUAUGCACUGAUUGAACCUUUAAUGUUGCUACCUUGUCUAUGACAGGAACAGUAUAAUAAGGAAGUCACUUUCCUGCAUCUGAGAACAGUGUCUCUACUAUAGGCACUGUGCUUCUGUCCGUCAAGAUCAAAUAAUGUUUACAUUUUUAGAUUUACAGGGAUGUUGUCAUGGCAUCAAAUGGAGGGUGACUGAAGGUGCGUCUAUGGAGGUCAUAUACCUAUACAGACCUGUAUUUAUUCUUUGCACUGGUUUGACUGACAAGUGCACUUUAUGGUGGACGUUUACAUCAAGUAGGCCAAAAGAACCACUUGCUUUACGAAGUCCACGCACUCCAACGUUGUCCUUCAUGUAUGGAUGCUUUACAUGAUAUUGUAAAUACUCCGUUCUCCCUGCACAGGUUAGCUUUGAAGGAUGUGUCCAUGCAGCUAGUGCCAAGCGACAAAGCUUGACCUUACUCGUCUCCUAUUGUAACGUCCCAUCUAGUGUUCUGUUGUCACUGUCAUUAAGCCCUUUCCUAGUGUCCUUGCAGUACAAAAGGUGACAUUUCCAAGUGGUAUUUUUCUUAAGUUGAGCUCCUGCUGCUGCUCUGUUUGCUACAGUGCUGCCUGGUAAGCAGAGUGUCACUGUGAUUGACUUGAAUUAAAUGGCUCCCGUUAGGACACACACAUGAACACACGCACGCACGCAUGCUGCGCACACACAUACACACCAAUAGAAAGGUGGCUAGGCUGUUCCCGUUAGGAUGAUGAGGAGAUGGCUGGUUGUGAAACCUCUACAGCAGCUGUGUCAGCAGUCUGGUAGAGCUAGCAGGCUUCAUGCAUCAUUUCCUUCUGACAUCCCUCUUGCCUGUUUGCUUUUACCCCCAAAGGGCCAAGUUCUGUUUGUCUGUUUGCCCAAAGGUUUACAUUGUUCGUGAAGUAAAGGUUUGAGUUUUCAUGCUCUCCAAGGGCAUGUGUGGAUUUUGAUUCUGAUGUCCAUGCUUUACAGGUUGUGUGGUUUAAUUUAUUGAUAUGUCAUAAUAGUUUUAUUGUGUGUCUGUAUUUUCCUGAAGGUACAGAAUACAGUCACUGUAGGCCUACACAUCUUUAUACUCAACAUACAGCUCUAUUCAAUGGAUUUUGAUCAUUGUUUCUUUGGUCAAACAAAACAUUCUGAUAGGAAAAUGCUUGUCUGCUUUUGCACCGUCAGACAGGUCUUCUGUUCUGGUGCUGUUAUGAAGAGAUGAACACUUUCCAUUUCAAAUGAUUUGAACUUGGUUAUUCAUGGUUAUUCUUCCUUAGUUCAUGUUUACCCCUACAGUAGAUAUGACUUACCUCUGUCAGCAUAACAACCCCUGAUAUGGUUGUGUGUGUGUGUGUGUGUGUGUGUGUGUGUGUCAGUCACAGGCCGACUGGUGGCACCUUAAUUGGGGAGGACGGGCUCAUAGUAAUGGCUGGAAUGGAAUAACUGGAAUGGUAUCGAACACCAUUCCAUUCACUCCAUUCCAGCCAUUAUAUUGAGCAGUCCUCCCCUCAGCAGCCUCCUGUGGUGUGUGUGUGUCCUCUAUGUGUGCUUCUGUAUAAAAUGCUCCAAGGGGAUACCUAGUCAGUUGUACAACUGAAUGCAUUCAACUGAAAUGUGUCUUCCGCAUUUAACCCAACCCCUCUGCAGCUUUGUGUCAUGUUUGUGUAGUGAGUUUAUUUAGGUGGUAUUAUCAUUGUCUGUCUGCUGAGGAUUGUGCUGGAAUAUGACACUUUUCCAGCUGUUUGGCGAGAAUGAAAAAAAAAAGUUAAGUGACUUGUGAGUAGCAUUGUGUUUAUUUAUUUAAUCAAGUAUUUUCUUUUUGCUGACAGUAUAAUAGAACUUAAUCCGUGCCAAUAAUACUAAUCUAAUCUUUUUCUAUGUUUGCUUACUGUAUGUGUCCCUUAGUAGCUGGUGCCCAUGUAAAAAUAUACAUACAUAUAUUACAGAACAUUAUAUAUAAACAAUAUCAAC
This 4811-nucleotide long non-coding RNA is filed under the name Salmo salar (Atlantic salmon). Its description in RNAcentral is "lncRNA (ENSSSAG00000114359.1)". Lineage: Eukaryota; Metazoa; Chordata; Actinopteri; Salmoniformes; Salmonidae. The record is from RNAcentral.